This 430-nucleotide ribosomal RNA is filed under the name uncultured bacterium. RNAcentral's name for it is "bacterial SSU rRNA". It matches the Rfam family "Bacterial small subunit ribosomal RNA", at positions 44 to 507 of the family's 1533-position model. The record is from RNAcentral.
AGGCCUAACACAUGCAAGUCGAACGCCCCUUCGGGGGAGUGGCGGACGGGUGAGUAACGCGUGGGAACGUGCCCUUUGGUACGGAACAACUGAGGGAAACUUCAGCUAAUACCGUAUGUGCCCCCAUUCUUAGCGGGAUGGGUGGGAAAGAUUUAUCGCCAUUGGAGCGGCCCGCGUUAGAUUAGCUAGUUGGUAGGGUAAUGGCCUACCAAGGCGACGAUCUAUAGCUGGUCUGAGAGGAUGAUCAGCCACACUGGGACUGAGACACGGCCCAGACUCCUACGGGAGGCAGCAGUGGGGAAUCUUGCGCAAUGGGCGAAAGCCUGACGCAGCCAUGCCGCGUGAAUGAUGAAGGUCUUAGGAUUGUAAAAUUCUUUCACCGGGGACGAUAAUGACGGUACCCGGAGAAGAAGCCCCGGCUAACUUCGUG